UUAAGCGACUAAGCGUACACGGUGGAUGCCCUGGCAGUCAGAGGCGAUGAAGGACGUGCUAAUCUGCGAUAAGCGUCGGUAAGGUGAUAUGAACCGUUAUAACCGGCGAUUUCCGAAUGGGGAAACCCAGUGUGUUUCGACACACUAUCAUUAACUGAAUCCAUAGGUUAAUGAGGCGAACCGGGGGAACUGAAACAUCUAAGUACCCCGAGGAAAAGAAAUCAACCGAGAUUCCCCCAGUAGCGGCGAGCGAACGGGGAGCAGCCCAGAGCCUGAAUCAGUGUGUGUGUUAGUGGAAGCGUCUGGAAAGGCGCGCGAUACAGGGUGACAGCCCCGUACACAAAAAUGCACAUGCUGUGAGCUCGAUGAGUAGGGCGGGACACGUGGUAUCCUGUCUGAAUAUGGGGGGACCAUCCUCCAAGGCUAAAUACUCCUGACUGACCGAUAGUGAACCAGUACCGUGAGGGAAAGGCGAAAAGAACCCCGGCGAGGGGAGUGAAAAAGAACCUGAAACCGUGUACGUACAAGCAGUGGGAGCACGCUUAGGCGUGUGACUGCGUACCUUUUGUAUAAUGGGUCAGCGACUUAUAUUCUGUAGCAAGGUUAACCGAAUAGGGGAGCCGAAGGGAAACCGAGUCUUAACUGGGCGUUAAGUUGCAGGGUAUAGACCCGAAACCCGGUGAUCUAGCCAUGGGCAGGUUGAAGGUUGGGUAACACUAACUGGAGGACCGAACCGACUAAUGUUGAAAAAUUAGCGGAUGACUUGUGGCUGGGGGUGAAAGGCCAAUCAAACCGGGAGAUAGCUGGUUCUCCCCGAAAGCUAUUUAGGUAGCGCCUCGUGAAUUCAUCUCCGGGGGUAGAGCACUGUUUCGGCAAGGGGGUCAUCCCGACUUACCAACCCGAUGCAAACUGCGAAUACCGGAGAAUGUUAUCACGGGAGACACACGGCGGGUGCUAACGUCCGUCGUGAAGAGGGAAACAACCCAGACCGCCAGCUAAGGUCCCAAAGUCAUGGUUAAGUGGGAAACGAUGUGGGAAGGCCCAGACAGCCAGGAUGUUGGCUUAGAAGCAGCCAUCAUUUAAAGAAAGCGUAAUAGCUCACUGGUCGAGUCGGCCUGCGCGGAAGAUGUAACGGGGCUAAACCAUGCACCGAAGCUGCGGCAGCGACGCUUAUGCGUUGUUGGGUAGGGGAGCGUUCUGUAAGCCUGUGAAGGUGUGCUGUGAGGCAUGCUGGAGGUAUCAGAAGUGCGAAUGCUGACAUAAGUAACGAUAAAGCGGGUGAAAAGCCCGCUCGCCGGAAGACCAAGGGUUCCUGUCCAACGUUAAUCGGGGCAGGGUGAGUCGACCCUAAGGCGAGGCCGAAAGGCGUAGUCGAUGGGAAACAGGUUAAUAUUCCUGUACUUGGUGUUACUGCGAAGGGGGGACGGAGAAGGCUAUGUUGACCGGGCGACGGUUGUCCCGGUUUAAGCGUGUAGGCUGGUUUUCCAGGCAAAUCCGGAAAAUCAAGGCUGAGGCGUGAUGACGAGGCACUACGGUGCUGAAGCAACAAAUGCCCUGCUUCCAGGAAAAGCCUCUAAGCAUCAGGUAACAUCAAAUCGUACCCCAAACCGACACAGGUGGUCAGGUAGAGAAUACCAAGGCGCUUGAGAGAACUCGGGUGAAGGAACUAGGCAAAAUGGUGCCGUAACUUCGGGAGAAGGCACGCUGAUAUGUAGGUGAAGUCCCUCGCGGAUGGAGCUGAAAUCAGUCGAAGAUACCAGCUGGCUGCAACUGUUUAUUAAAAACACAGCACUGUGCAAACACGAAAGUGGACGUAUACGGUGUGACGCCUGCCCGGUGCCGGAAGGUUAAUUGAUGGGGUCAGCGCAAGCGAAGCUCUUGAUCGAAGCCCCGGUAAACGGCGGCCGUAACUAUAACGGUCCUAAGGUAGCGAAAUUCCUUGUCGGGUAAGUUCCGACCUGCACGAAUGGCGUAAUGAUGGCCAGGCUGUCUCCACCCGAGACUCAGUGAAAUUGAACUCGCUGUGAAGAUGCAGUGUACCCGCGGCAAGACGGAAAGACCCCGUGAACCUUUACUAUAGCUUGACACUGAACAUUGAGCCUUGAUGUGUAGGAUAGGUGGGAGGCUUAGAAGUGUGGACGCCAGUCUGCAUGGAGCCGACCUUGAAAUACCACCCUUUAAUGUUUGAUGUUCUAACGUUGACCCGUAAUCCGGGUUGCGGACAGUGUCUGGUGGGUAGUUUGACUGGGGCGGUCUCCUCCUAAAGAGUAACGGAGGAGCACGAAGGUUGGCUAAUCCUGGUCGGACAUCAGGAGGUUAGUGCAAUGGCAUAAGCCAGCUUGACUGCGAGCGUGACGGCGCGAGCAGGUGCGAAAGCAGGUCAUAGUGAUCCGGUGGUUCUGAAUGGAAGGGCCAUCGCUCAACGGAUAAAAGGUACUCCGGGGAUAACAGGCUGAUACCGCCCAAGAGUUCAUAUCGACGGCGGUGUUUGGCACCUCGAUGUCGGCUCAUCACAUCCUGGGGCUGAAGUAGGUCCCAAGGGUAUGGCUGUUCGCCAUUUAAAGUGGUACGCGAGCUGGGUUUAGAACGUCGUGAGACAGUUCGGUCCCUAUCUGCCGUGGGCGCUGGAGAACUGAGGGGGGCUGCUCCUAGUACGAGAGGACCGGAGUGGACGCAUCACUGGUGUUCGGGUUGUCAUGCCAAUGGCACUGCCCGGUAGCUAAAUGCGGAAGAGAUAAGUGCUGAAAGCAUCUAAGCACGAAACUUGCCCCGAGAUGAGUUCUCCCUGACUCCUUGAGAGUCCUGAAGGAACGUUGAAGACGACGACGUUGAUAGGCCGGGUGUGUAAGCGCAGCGAUGCGUUGAGCUAACCGGUACUAAUGAACCGUGAGGCUUAACCUU
This 2901-nucleotide ribosomal RNA is filed under the name Escherichia coli 1827-70. Its description in RNAcentral is "bacterial LSU rRNA". It matches the Rfam family "Bacterial large subunit ribosomal RNA". Lineage: Bacteria; Pseudomonadati; Pseudomonadota; Gammaproteobacteria; Enterobacterales; Enterobacteriaceae. The record is from RNAcentral.